RNAcentral lists this ribosomal RNA (500 nucleotides) under uncultured bacterium. Its description in RNAcentral is "bacterial SSU rRNA". It matches the Rfam family "Bacterial small subunit ribosomal RNA", at positions 28 to 573 of the family's 1533-position model. The record is from RNAcentral.
AACGAACGCUGGCGGCAUGCCUAACACAUGCAAGUCGAACGAGACCUUCGGGUCUAGUGGCGCACGGGUGCGUAACGCGUGGGAAUCUGCCCUUAGGUUCGGAAUAACUCAGGGAAACUUGAGCUAAUACCGGAUGAUGACUUCGGUCCAAAGAUUUAUCGCCUAGGGAUGAGCCCGCGUCGGAUUAGCUUGUUGGUGAGGUAAAAGCUCACCAAGGCGACGAUCCGUAGCUGGUCUGAGAGGAUGAUCAGCCACGCUGGGACUGAGACACGGCCCAGACUCCUACGGGAGGCAGCAGUGGGGAAUAUUGGACAAUGGGCGAAAGCCUGAUCCAGCAAUGCCGCGUGAGUGAUGAAGGCCUUAGGGUUGUAAAGCUCUUUUACCCGGGAUUGAUAAUGACAGUACCGGGAGAAUAAGCCCCGGCUAACUCCGUGCCAGCAGCCGCGGUAAUACAGAGGGGGCUAGCGUUGUUCGGAAUUACUGGGCGUAAAGCGCACGGU